RNAcentral lists this ribosomal RNA (359 nucleotides) under Escherichia coli. RNAcentral describes it as "partial 23S ribosomal RNA". It matches the Rfam family "Bacterial large subunit ribosomal RNA", at positions 612 to 972 of the family's 2925-position model. Lineage: Bacteria; Pseudomonadati; Pseudomonadota; Gammaproteobacteria; Enterobacterales; Enterobacteriaceae. The record is from RNAcentral.
AUAAUGGGUCAGCGACUUAUAUUCUGUAGCAAGGUUAACCGAAUAGGGGAGCCGAAGGGAAACCGAGUCUUAACUGGGCGUUAAGUUGCAGGGUAUAGACCCGAAACCCGGUGAUCUAGCCAUGGGCAGGUUGAAGGUUGGGUAACACUAACUGGAGGACCGAACCGACUAAUGUUGAAAAAUUAGCGGAUGACUUGUGGCUGGGGGUGAAAGGCCAAUCAAACCGGGAGAUAGCUGGUUCUCCCCGAAAGCUAUUUAGGUAGCGCCUCGUGAAUUCAUCUCCGGGGGUAGAGCACUGUUUCGGCAAGGGGGUCAUCCCGACUUACCAACCCGAUGCAAACUGCGAAUACCGGAGAAUG